Molecule: transfer RNA, 75 nt
Filed under: bacterium
Lineage: Bacteria
Also listed under: 1 other name
Description: tRNA-Val
Rfam family: tRNA
About the family: Transfer RNA (tRNA) molecules are approximately 80 nucleotides in length. Their secondary structure includes four short double-helical elements and three loops (D, anti-codon, and T loops).
Source: RNAcentral
GGGCGGAUAGCUCAGCUUGGUGAGAGCGCCUGCCUUACAAGCAGGAGGUCGGAGGUUCGAAUCCUCUUCCGCCCA